This 555-nucleotide ribosomal RNA is filed under the name uncultured archaeon. RNAcentral describes it as "bacterial SSU rRNA". It matches the Rfam family "Archaeal small subunit ribosomal RNA", at positions 325 to 879 of the family's 1478-position model. The record is from RNAcentral.
ACGGGGUGCAGCAGGCGCGAAACCUUUACACUGCACGCAAGUGCGAUAAGGGGACUCCGAGUGUGUGGGCAUAGAGCCCACACUUUUGUGUACCGUAAGAAGGUACACGAAUAAGAACUGGGCAAGACCGGCGCCAGCCGCCGCGGUAAUACCGGCAGUUCGAGUGAUGGCCGAUUUUAUUGGGCCUAAAGCGUCCGUAGCCGGCCGGGCAAGUCCGUUGGGAAAUCUGUUCGCUUAACGAACAGGCGUCCAGCGGAAACUGCUUGGCUUGGGACCGAAAGACCUGAGGGGUACGUCCGGGGUAGGAGUGAAAUCCUGUAAUCCUGGACGGACCGCCGAUGGGGAAACCACCUCAGGAGGACGGAUCCGACGGUGAGGGACGAAAGCUAGGGUCUCGAACCGGAUUAGAUACCCGGGUAGUCCUAGCUGUAAACGAUGUCUGCUAGGUGUGGCACAGGCUACGAGCCUGUGCUGUGCCGUAGGGAAGCCGAGAAGCAGACCGCCUGGGAAGUACGUCCGCAAGGAUGAAACUUAAAGGAAUUGGCGGGGGAGCAC